This 802-nucleotide ribosomal RNA is filed under the name Enterococcus faecalis. RNAcentral's name for it is "partial 23S ribosomal RNA". It matches the Rfam family "Bacterial large subunit ribosomal RNA", at positions 380 to 1182 of the family's 2925-position model. The record is from RNAcentral. Lineage: Bacteria; Bacillati; Bacillota; Bacilli; Lactobacillales; Enterococcaceae.
CGAAAUGCUGACAACACCUAGGAGGAUCCUGAGUACGACGGAACACGAGAAAUUCCGUCGGAAUCCGCGGGGACCAUCCCGCAAGGCUAAAUACUCCCUAGUGACCGAUAGUGAACCAGUACCGUGAGGGAAAGGUGAAAAGCACCCCGGAAGGGGAGUGAAAUAGAUCCUGAAACCGUGUGCCUACAACAAGUCAAAGCUCGUUAAUGAGUGAUGGCGUGCCUUUUGUAGAAUGAACCGGCGAGUUACGAUUGCAUGCGAGGUUAAGUCGAAGAGACGGAGCCGCAGCGAAAGCGAGUCUGAAUAGGGCGAAUGAGUAUGUAGUCGUAGACCCGAAACCAUGUGAUCUACCCAUGUCCAGGUUGAAGGUGCGGUAAAACGCACUGGAGGACCGAACCCACGUACGUUGAAAAGUGCGGGGAUGAGGUGUGGGUAGCGGAGAAAUUCCAAACGAACUUGGAGAUAGCUGGUUCUCUCCGAAAUAGCUUUAGGGCUAGCCUCGGAAUUGAGAAUGAUGGAGGUAGAGCACUGUUUGGACUAGGGGCCCAUCUCGGGUUACCGAAUUCAGAUAAACUCCGAAUGCCAUUCAUUUAUAUCCGGGAGUCAGACUGCGAGUGAUAAGAUCCGUAGUCGAAAGGGAAACAGCCCAGACCACCAGCUAAGGUCCCAAAAUAUAUGUUAAGUGGAAAAGGAUGUGGGGUUGCACAGACAACUAGGAUGUUGGCUUAGAAGCAGCCACCAUUUAAAGAGUGCGUAAUAGCUCACUAGUCGAGUGACCCUGCGCCGAAAAUGUACCGGGGCU